This 119-nucleotide small nucleolar RNA is filed under the name Echinops telfairi (small Madagascar hedgehog). RNAcentral describes it as "Small nucleolar RNA SNORA61 (ENSETEG00000026744.1)". Lineage: Eukaryota; Metazoa; Chordata; Mammalia; Afrosoricida; Tenrecidae. The record is from RNAcentral.
ACCCUCCAGAUUCUUCCCCCUUCAGAUCUAAAUAUUGGUCUGGGUGGCUAAAAAGGAGGAGAAGUAAACUGAAGCAGACUUGGAGUCUUUAGUGACGUACAAAUUCAUUUCAAACAUUA